This is a long non-coding RNA of Apis florea (little honeybee), 408 nucleotides long. The record is from RefSeq and is a predicted model, not a curated record. NCBI's taxonomy places the organism in Eukaryota, Metazoa, Arthropoda, Insecta, Hymenoptera, Apidae.
ACGAAGCACGUGCGUGCACUUAGCCUGAUGGCUGGGCAAUAGGAUAAAUGCAGAGCAAUCGUUAUCGCUUUAUCGACCGUUAUCUUUACCAAAUGCGAAUCAUUCUCUCUUUCCCUCCCCCCAUACGUUCCCCUUCCUCUUUCACUUACACACAAUUUCGUUCAGAAAUUGAUUCGCACCGCGGCAAAAGGUCGAUUUAAUCCCGCCGCUCCUCCCUUGUGAAUAAUAACAAACGCCACUCGCGUUAUAAUUCGGAACGGAAUGCCGAUCGGUGGAUUGGGCAACGGUCGGUAAACGGAAUAACGGUGCAUCGUGAAGGGGGGAGGGCCCAACCCAGGGUAACCCAACCCUGCUAACGCAUCGUUCUUUGUCCCGGCCAACCUAGUUCUCCGGCUUCGAGGCAUGCAU